AGCUUUAUCAGAGAUCAUACUUUGGAGAGCAUCUGUCACCUUUUGUUCAGUGACUUGUCGGAUAAGGCUAGCAUUAUACUGAUCAAUGAUUAUAGAUGAGAUAAUAGGCAAAACUAUAGAUUGGUUAGUAGUCUACACCAACCAUCUUUGUUGAAAACAUUAAUCAAGGAGUACUUGUCGGAUUUGCUUCGGGUUAUCAUUAUCAUU
This 207-nucleotide long non-coding RNA is filed under the name Elaeis guineensis (African oil palm). RNAcentral's name for it is "long non-coding RNA (EGUI_LNC015223)". Lineage: Eukaryota; Viridiplantae; Streptophyta; Magnoliopsida; Arecales; Arecaceae. The record is from RNAcentral.